Molecule: long non-coding RNA, 177 nt
Organism: Orcinus orca (killer whale)
Lineage: Eukaryota; Metazoa; Chordata; Mammalia; Artiodactyla; Delphinidae
Exons: 3
Source: RefSeq, a predicted model, not a curated record
GUUCUGUCUUCUGAGACUAUCUUGGAUGGCAAGAAGAAACAGGAAGGAAGAAAAGAUAUAAAAAGAGAGAAUAAUGGACAACACUUGAGGAAGAUUUGACUAGGAAGCAGUCAUAGCCGAAUCAAAAUCAAUGACUCAAGCUUUCAAAGAAAUGGAACAUAUAUCCUCAAAUGCCAG